RNAcentral lists this ribosomal RNA (771 nucleotides) under Triticum aestivum (bread wheat). RNAcentral describes it as "partial small subunit ribosomal RNA". The record is from RNAcentral. Lineage: Eukaryota; Viridiplantae; Streptophyta; Magnoliopsida; Poales; Poaceae.
AUGGACGAGUGGGUUCGCCAAGCGGAGGCGUGGGCAGGCCAAGCAGAGCACUGGAUCCGCCAGCAACCCCCGGAGCAGAUUUACGUCGCGGUCGCCGUGAUUGCGGUGACGAUUCUGGUGCUGGUCGCAGCUUCUUGUCUGAAAUCAUCGAAACCGAACACCAUAGUUCUAUCCGGGCUUAGUGGCAGCGGCAAAACUGUUCUUUUCUAUCAGCUUCGCGAUGGGUCAUCACAUCAGGGAACUGUGACUUCGAUGACACAUAACAAUGCUACAUUUGUGCUGCACUCGGAGCUGGAAAGGAAAGGCAAAAUAAAACCUGUUCAUGUUAUCGAUGUUCCUGGUCAUGCAAGGCUGAAAUCGAAGCUUGAUGAAGUCCUGCCUCAGGCAGCUGGGGUUGUUUUUGUCGUCGAUGCUCUAGAUUUCUUGUCUAGCAUGCAAGCUUCUGCAGAGUACUUGUAUGACAUUUUGACGAAGGCAACUGUAGUGAAGAAAAGGAUUCCUGUUCUGAUAUUCUGCAACAAGACAGAUAAAGUUACAGCUCACUCAAAGGAGUUCAUCAAGAAGCAGUUGGAGAAAGAAGUAAACAAGCUCCGGGAAUCAAGGAACGCCAUAUCAUCCGCUGACAUCAGUGAUGAAGUCCAACUUGGGUUACCUGGAGAGGCAUUCAACUUCAGCCAGUGUCAGAACAAGGUGAUAGUUGAUGAAGGUGCUGGUCUGACUGGUGAUGUUUCAGCAGUUGAGCAGUUCAUCCGCGAGUAUGUGAAGCCAUAG